CAGUCUCUUCGUUCAGUGAGUUUAAAUCUAAAGGUAUGUUUGUCUUUCUGGACUGCAAGGAGAGGAGGCUUCAUCCCUGGCAGUGGAUGUGACUUCCUCCCCCAACUUCCUGAGAGGUAGAAAUGGUGCUAAAUGUGCUAUGCACACUUUAUAGCUCUGCAGGGUCAACUAGGACUUGGAAAGAUGCUUCAGAAAUCAACAUGCGAAGGAAAGCUCCACCCCAACAGCAAUAACUCCCUUACCCUACUAGAAUCUGGAAGAAAAGAUCGGAAUUAAAACCAAAAGACUACAUUUAGACAUUGCUUCCAUCAACAGGAGGGAACCUAAAAUGGGAUGCUUUGAAAACUCGGGAUCCUGAGCUGCUGCCUUUCUUUUUUGAAAGGAGCAAAGGAGAAGGAUAAAUAUAUUAAGAAUUUGUCAAAGAAAAAGAAAUGCUCUGUGCCUGUGUGCAGCUUGCUGAUGAAGGGAAAAAGCAGCCCUUCUUUCUUGAACAUUAGUUCAAGUCUAUAGACCCCUGAAAGGGGUCACAAUUUCAACUUUGCCCUUGUCAUCUUAUUUUCAGUAGCAAGGUCAUCUAUACUUGGGAGGUUUCAAAUCACCUUUGAAAAAUUUAG
Molecule: long non-coding RNA, 614 nt
Filed under: Microcebus murinus (gray mouse lemur)
Lineage: Eukaryota; Metazoa; Chordata; Mammalia; Primates; Cheirogaleidae
Description: lncRNA (ENSMICG00000048581.1)
Source: RNAcentral